This 76-nucleotide transfer RNA is filed under the name Vibrio parahaemolyticus. RNAcentral's name for it is "tRNA-Gly". It matches the Rfam family "tRNA". Rfam says of the family: Transfer RNA (tRNA) molecules are approximately 80 nucleotides in length. Their secondary structure includes four short double-helical elements and three loops (D, anti-codon, and T loops). Lineage: Bacteria; Pseudomonadati; Pseudomonadota; Gammaproteobacteria; Vibrionales; Vibrionaceae. The record is from RNAcentral.
GCGACACUAGCUCAGUUGGUAGAGCGCAACCUUGCCGAGGUUGAGGUCACGAGUUCGUACCUCGUGUGUCGCUCCA